Oryza barthii is the source of this 191-nucleotide non-coding RNA. The record is from Rfam. NCBI's taxonomy places the organism in Eukaryota, Viridiplantae, Streptophyta, Magnoliopsida, Poales, Poaceae.
AAUAAAUAUAGUUUUGCACUAUUCAUGUUCAAUGUCUGUUCAUCUUACUUGAAUUUUUUAUUAGUAUUUUUAUUAUUAUUAAAUGAUAAAAUAUGAAUAGUACUUUAUACGUGAGUCUUUUUUUUUCAUAAAUUUUUCAAAUAAUACAGACAGACAAACGUUGGAUACGAAUAUCCAUGGCUACACUUAUC